RNAcentral lists this ribosomal RNA (424 nucleotides) under uncultured bacterium. Its description in RNAcentral is "bacterial SSU rRNA". It matches the Rfam family "Bacterial small subunit ribosomal RNA", at positions 358 to 772 of the family's 1533-position model. The record is from RNAcentral.
GGAAUUGUUCGCAAUGGGCGCAAGCCUGACGACGCAACGCCGCGUGGAGGAUGAAGAUUUUCGGAUCGUAAACUCCUGUCGAAUGGGACGAACAGAUCUCGGGUGAACAAUCCGAGGUCCUGACGGUACCGUUAAAGGAAACCCCGGCUAACUCCGUGCCAGCAGCCGCGGUAAUACGUAGGUGGCAAGCGUUGUCCGGAUUUACUGGGCGUAAAGAGCGCGCAGGCGGUCGUUCAAGUCGCGUGUGAAAGCCCCCGGCUCAACUGGGGAGGGUCACGCGAUACUGAUCGACUCGAAGGCAGGAGAGGGUAGUGGAAUUCCCGGUGUAGUGGUGAAAUGCGUAGAUAUCGGGAGGAACACCAGUGGCGAAGGCGACUACCUGGCCUGUUUCUUGACGCUGAGGCGCGAAAGCUAGGGGAGCAAA